This 72-nucleotide transfer RNA is filed under the name Ovis aries (sheep). It matches the Rfam family "tRNA". Rfam says of the family: Transfer RNA (tRNA) molecules are approximately 80 nucleotides in length. Their secondary structure includes four short double-helical elements and three loops (D, anti-codon, and T loops). The record is from Rfam by way of RNAcentral. Lineage: Eukaryota; Metazoa; Chordata; Mammalia; Artiodactyla; Bovidae.
UUCCUGAUAGCUCAGUUGGUAAAGAAUCUGUCUGGAAUGCAGGAGACCCCAGUUCAAUUCCUGGGUCAGGAA